AAUGAACGCUGGCGGCGUGGAUUAGGCAUGCAAGUCGAACGCGAAAGUUCCCUUCGGGGAGCGAGUAGAGUGGCGAAAGGGUGAGUAAUGCUUGGAUGACCUGCCCUCGAGACGGGGACAACAGUUCGAAAGGACUGCUAAUACCCGAUAGUCCGGUUUAGAUGCGUCUAGAUCGGUAAAUGGUGCUUCCGCUCGAGGAGGGGUUCAAGUCCUAUCAGCUUGCUGGUGAGGUAACGGCUCACCAAGGCGAUGACGGGUAGCCGGACUGAGAGGUUGGCCGGCCACAUGGGAACUGAGACACUGUCCUGACUCCUACGGGAGGCUGCAGUCGAGAAUCUUCUGU
Molecule: ribosomal RNA, 343 nt
Filed under: uncultured bacterium
Lineage: Bacteria
Description: bacterial SSU rRNA
Rfam family: Bacterial small subunit ribosomal RNA
Source: RNAcentral